GGGGCAGAGCCCAGCGCACCCUCACCCUGUCCGACAAGGUUCUCCUCGGGGACAGGGCUCCCUGCAGUGCUGGGGCUGCCACUGUCCUGCACGAGCCCCGGCUGUGCAGCAGGGCCUGACCAGCACCCCUGCCCCGUCUUCACCUACAGGAGAAGAAGGAGCGGGCGAGGAGACGUGGGCUCGCCUUCUGGAUGAAGACAAUCUGCCUCAUCUUCGUCAGCCUCCUGCUGCUGCUCGUUGCCGUGCUGGGCUCUGCAGUGCUGUACGCCCAGCACUAUGACCAGGAGCUGUUGUAUCGGCUCCUGCUGCGAGUGCUGCCCC
RNAcentral lists this long non-coding RNA (321 nucleotides) under Gallus gallus (chicken). RNAcentral's name for it is "lncRNA (ENSGALG00010000168.1)". The record is from RNAcentral. Lineage: Eukaryota; Metazoa; Chordata; Aves; Galliformes; Phasianidae.